This 424-nucleotide ribosomal RNA is filed under the name uncultured bacterium. RNAcentral's name for it is "partial 16S ribosomal RNA". It matches the Rfam family "Bacterial small subunit ribosomal RNA", at positions 360 to 776 of the family's 1533-position model. The record is from RNAcentral.
AAUAUUGGCCAAUGGGGGAAACCCUGAUCCAGCCAUCCCGCGUGUAAGAUGAAGGGCUUCGGGUUGUAAAGUACUUUUGGCUGAGAGGAAAAGGUAUCCCUUAAUACCGGAUACUGCCGACGGGAUCCGCAGAAUAAGCACCGGCUAACUACAUGCCACUAGCCGCGGUAAUACGUAGGGUGCAAGCGUUAAUCGGAAUUACUGUGCGUAAAGCGUGUGUAGGCGGUUCGGAAAGAAAGAUGUGAAAUCCCACGGCUCAACCUUGGAACUGCAUUUUUAACUGCCGAGCUAGAGUAUGUCAGAGGGGGGUAGAAUUCCACGUGUAGCAGUGAAAUGCGUAGAUAUGUGGAGGAAUACCGAUGGCGGAGGCAGCCCCCUGGGAUAAUACUGACGCUCAGACACGAAAGCGUGGGGAGCAAACAGG